This is a long non-coding RNA of Mesocricetus auratus (golden hamster), 1214 nucleotides long. RefSeq lists it as uncharacterized. Lineage: Eukaryota; Metazoa; Chordata; Mammalia; Rodentia; Cricetidae. The record is from RefSeq and is a predicted model, not a curated record. The transcript has 3 exons.
AAGCCAGUGAGAGAGCUAUUCACAGAUAAUAGUGAAAAGCAGGAAAAAUGAAGAGAUUAUUCAAUGUGCUCACAUUGGGAAGAGCAGCAAAGAGGCCUGGUGGGCAGAGGAACAGGAAGAAAAUGAGGCCCGAUGGCUGCCAGACCGUUUGGUGAGAUGUGUGGAGCAGAGGAAAACUGGACCUGAGACUAAAGGAGCCUAUGCAAGUCAGUUCGAGUGAGACCCAGUGAACCUGUGUUCCUAACCUCCUGAUGUCAUUGAUUCUGCGGUCCGAGAAAGGAAGGAAACUGUUGGUUCGAGAUUUCUAGUUUCUCAACAGGUUUCCACUUCUGGCAGACACAUCCAAGCAUCAGCUGACUACAACCUGCUCCAAAAGACUGUGAGCUCUGGACUUGCUGCUGAUGUGGGCCAGGCCAGCAGAUGUGAACACUCCCUGUAUCUUCAACAGAGUCUUUGAGCCAGAUGCUUCUGAUCAAUACCCCACUGCCCGAAUUCCCUCUUUGCUUUUGACUAGCAUUUCAGCCUUCUUGGGCCCCUGACAGCAAUGUCCCAAAGUCAUCUGGAAGUAGUUACAGAAAAGAGUAUGUUGUCCCUCGCUCCCUCAUUGAAAUGCUAAGUCAAAAGGAAACCCCCUUACAUAGGGGACAAAAUGGCAAUAGAUGCAAAUGUCACUGCCCUAGAAAACCCUGUCAGCUAAUGGCUCUUAGGACUUGUUCCCACACCUUUGAGCCUCUAAAAGGCAGGAUUUAUGAUUGGGUCCUGUUGUUGGUACCUCUAGAAAGCAGGAAUGAGAGACUAAAACCAGGGUCAUUUUAGAAAAGAGGGCCAGAAACAGAAUAUGGGAACCUCACCCCAUAACCUGUGCAGCUGGCUCACAUCACCCACACAGCAGGCCGUCAGGAAAAACAGAUAGCCACACAUGGCCCUGACUCUGGCAGGAAGAACAGAUACCCCGGGUUAAUCAACAGAGUUACAAAACAACUUUUAUGGGUACAUGUUGUGCCAAAGAUUAGCCUAUGGAAAUUCCCCAAGUUCCUCUAGACACCCCAACCAAUCAGCUUUGACCCCAUACCCUCAGCCUGUCCUUUGGUUUUAGUCUUUAUAAACCCCUUGCUUAUGAGGCUUGAGACCUUCUCUCCUGCAGCUGCUAUUUCAGUCUGUGUUACAAGGUUCCUGCCUAGGCUUGAAAUCAAUAAAGAAACCUUGUACUUGCA